RNAcentral lists this ribosomal RNA (482 nucleotides) under uncultured bacterium. Its description in RNAcentral is "partial 16S ribosomal RNA". It matches the Rfam family "Bacterial small subunit ribosomal RNA", at positions 30 to 507 of the family's 1533-position model. The record is from RNAcentral.
AUUGAACGCUGGCGGCAUGAUUUACACAUGCAAGUCGAACGGUAACAGGCCGCAAGGUGCUGACGAGUGGCGAACGGGUGAGUAAUGCAUCGGAACGUGCCCAGUCGUGGGGGAUAACUACUCGAAAGAGUAGCUAAUACCGCAUACGAUCUAUGGAUGAAAGCGGGGGACCGUAAGGCCUCGCGCGAUUGGAGCGGCCGAUGUCAGAUUAGGUAGUUGGUGGGGUAAAGGCUCACCAAGCCAACGAUCUGUAGCUGGUCUGAGAGGACGACCAGCCACACUGGGACUGAGACACGGCCCAGACUCCUACGGGAGGCAGCAGUGGGGAAUUUUGGACAAUGGGCGCAAGCCUGAUCCAGCAAUGCCGCGUGCAGGAAGAAGGCCUUCGGGUUGUAAACUGCUUUUGUACGGAACGAAACGGCUCUGGUUAAUACCCGGGGCUAAUGACGGCACCGUAAGAAUAAGCACCGGCUAACUACGUG